CUGUAAGCCUGUGAAGGUGUACUGUGAGGUAUGCUGGAGGUAUCAGAAGUGCGAAUGCUGACAUAAGUAACGAUAAAGCGGGUGAAAAGCCCGCUCGCCGGAAGACCAAGGGUUCCUGUCCAACGUUAAUCGGGGCAGGGUGAGUCGACCCCUAAGGCGAGGCCGAAAGGCGUAGUCGAUGGGAAACAGGUUAAUAUUCCUGUACUUGGUGUUACUGCGAAGGGGGGACGGAGAAGGCUAUGUUGGCCGGGCGACGGUUGUCCCGGUUUAAGCGUGUAGGCUGGUUUUCCAGGCAAAUCCGGAAAAUCAAGGCUGAGGCGUGAUGACGAGGCACUACGGUGCUGAAGCAACAAAUGCCCUGCUUCCAGGAAAAGCCUCUAAGCAUCAGGUAACAUCAAAUCGUACCCCAAACCGACACAGGUGGUCAGGUAGAGAAUACCAAGGCGCUUGAGAGAACUCGGGUGAAGGAACUAGGCAAAAUGGUGCCGUAACUUCGGGAGAAGGCACGCUGAUAUGUAGGUGAAGUCCCUCGCGGAUGGAGCUGAAAUCAGUCGAAGAUACCAGCUGGCUGCAACUGUUUAUUAAAAACACAGCACUGUGCAAACACGAAAGUGGACGUAUACGGUGUGACGCCUGCCCGGUGC
This 644-nucleotide ribosomal RNA is filed under the name Escherichia coli. RNAcentral describes it as "partial 23S ribosomal RNA". It matches the Rfam family "Bacterial large subunit ribosomal RNA", at positions 1241 to 1869 of the family's 2925-position model. Lineage: Bacteria; Pseudomonadati; Pseudomonadota; Gammaproteobacteria; Enterobacterales; Enterobacteriaceae. The record is from RNAcentral.